UAUCCGCCUAUCCGGAGUACAUACUUCUUUAUGUACCCAUAUGGACAUAUGAAAGCUAUGGAAUGUAAAGAAGUAUGUAUUUUUGAUCAGGCACUGAGC
Molecule: microRNA precursor, 99 nt
Filed under: Lepisosteus oculatus (spotted gar)
Lineage: Eukaryota; Metazoa; Chordata; Actinopteri; Semionotiformes; Lepisosteidae
Description: Danio rerio miR-1-2 stem-loop (ENSLOCG00000020021.1)
Rfam family: mir-1 microRNA precursor family (bases 10-87)
About the family: This family represents the microRNA (miRNA) mir-1 family. miRNAs are transcribed as ~70nt precursors (modelled here) and subsequently processed by the Dicer enzyme to give a ~22nt product. In this case the mature sequence comes from the 3' arm of the precursor.
Source: RNAcentral